Molecule: ribosomal RNA, 322 nt
Filed under: uncultured eukaryote
Lineage: Eukaryota
Description: partial 18S ribosomal RNA
Rfam family: Eukaryotic small subunit ribosomal RNA
Source: RNAcentral
CCCUUAGAUGUCCUGGGCCGCACGCGCGCUACACUGACAUGUUCAACAAGUUUCUCCUAGUUCGACAGGACUGGGAAAUCUUUGAACGCAUGUCGUGAUAGGGAUAGAUCAUUGCAAUUAUUGAUCUUGAACGAGGAAUUCCUAGUAAACGCGAGUCAUCAGCUCGCAUUGAUUACGUCCCUGCCCUUUGUACACACCGCCCGUCGCACCUACCGAUUGAAUGUUUCGGUGAAGAUUCCGGACAGGACUGAUUUGAUUUAUUUCAUUUCUGACCUAAAAGCUAUCUAAACCUCAACAUUUAGAGGAAGGUGAAGUCGUAACA